RNAcentral lists this long non-coding RNA (417 nucleotides) under Podarcis lilfordi (Lilford's wall lizard). The record is from RNAcentral. Lineage: Eukaryota; Metazoa; Chordata; Lepidosauria; Squamata; Lacertidae.
CAUGGCAGAAAAGUCCACUGGGAAAACUGGAAUGUUCAAAAUUCUUACCAGGAAUCUUUUUGGCCCAGGCAAUCAUGUGGACCAGUUCUUUGUCUGCAAGCUUCGUCAGCGACAUCAUCAUGGAGGCUUCUGUAAAUGGUUUGCUGGGGCGGCUCACCAACACAUUUGGUGGCUCGGCUUCAAGUAAUAUGGAAACGAACUGUUCCGGGGUCAGUGCAUUGACCAGCAGUUCUUUUACUUGAAUUAUGGCUUCAUUGUUCUUCUUAACUUUGCCUACGCAGUGCACGGGAUCGUCUGAGUUACGGUGGCGGCGAAUUAUGCGAUAGCCACAGCGCUCUCUUCUUGAACCUGAAAUUCACAAUAUUUCAGAACUAAAGGAAGUUUUUCAUUAACCCAGUCACCACAUUUCCCUUGUGC